This 244-nucleotide ribosomal RNA is filed under the name uncultured bacterium. RNAcentral describes it as "partial small subunit ribosomal RNA". It matches the Rfam family "Bacterial small subunit ribosomal RNA", at positions 26 to 285 of the family's 1533-position model. The record is from RNAcentral.
AGAAUCAACGCUGGCGGCGUGCCUAACACAUGCAAGUCGAACGAGAAAGUGGAGCAAUCCAUGAGUAAAGUGGCGCACGGGUGAGUAACACGUGACUAACCUACCCUUGAGUGGGGAAUAACUUCGGGAACCGAGGCUAAUACCGCAUAACACCUACGGGUCAAAGGAGCAAUUCGCUUAAGGAGGGGGUCGCGGCAGAUUAGUUAGUUGGCGGGGUAAUGGCCCACCAAGACGGUGAUCUGUA